GUUUUCGGACACUGAUGGGACUACUUAGUGGCGGACGGGUGAGUAACGCGUGAGUAACCUGCCUUGGAGUGGGGAAUAACAGCUGGAAACAGCUGCUAAUACCGCAUAAUAUGUCUGUGUCGCAUGGCACUGGACAUCAAAGAUUUAUCGCUCUGAGAUGGACUCGCGUCUGAUUAGCUAGUUGGCGGGGUAACGGCCCACCAAGGCGACGAUCAGUAGCCGGACUGAGAGGUUGGCCGGCCACAUUGGGACUGAGACACGGCCCAGACUCCUACGGGAGGCAGCAGUGGGGAAUAUUGGGCAAUGGGCGCAAGCCUGACCCAGCAACGCCGCGUGAAGGAAGAAGGCUUUCGGGUUGUAAACUUCUUUUCUCAGGGACGAAGCAAGUGACGGUACCUGAGGAAUAAGCCACGGCUAACUACGUGCCAGCAGCCGCGGUAAUACGUAGGUGGCAAGCGUUAUCCGGAUUUACUGGGUGUAAAGGGCGUGUAGGCGGGACUGCAAGUCAGAUGUGAAAACCACGGGCUCAACCUGUGGCCUGCAUUUGAAACUGUAGUUCUUGAGUACUGGAGAGGCAGACGGAAUUCCUAGUGUAGCGGUGAAAUGCGUAGAUAUUAGGAGGAACACCAGUGGCGAAGGCGGUCUGCUGGACAGCAACUGACGCUGAGGCGCGAAAGCGUGGGGAGCAAACAGGAUCAGAUACCCUGGUAGUCCACGCUGUAAACGAUGGAUACUAGGUGUGGGGGGACUGACCCCCUCCGUGCCGCAGUUAACACAAUAAGUAUCCCACCUGGGGAGUACGAUCGCAAGGUU
Molecule: ribosomal RNA, 813 nt
Filed under: uncultured bacterium
Lineage: Bacteria
Description: bacterial SSU rRNA
Rfam family: Bacterial small subunit ribosomal RNA
Source: RNAcentral